CCAUACCACAUUGUUACACCGGUUCUCGUCCGAUGACGGAAGUUGAGCAUUUUUAAGUCUGGUCAGUACCUAGAUGGUUGACCGCUUCGGAAUACCAGUUGCUGUAAGC
Molecule: non-coding RNA, 109 nt
Organism: Acanthosepion pharaonis
Lineage: Eukaryota; Metazoa; Mollusca; Cephalopoda; Sepiida; Sepiidae
Source: the annotation of a GenBank genome assembly